RNAcentral lists this ribosomal RNA (700 nucleotides) under uncultured bacterium. RNAcentral's name for it is "bacterial SSU rRNA". It matches the Rfam family "Bacterial small subunit ribosomal RNA", at positions 94 to 771 of the family's 1533-position model. The record is from RNAcentral.
AGCGGCGCACGGGUGAGUAAUACGUAGGUAACCUGCCCUCAAGUUUGGGACAACUUGUCGAAAGACGGGCUAAUACCGGAUAAGACCACGGGAGCCGAGGCUCCUGGGGUCAAAGGUGGCCUCUGCUUGCAAGCUAUCGCUUGAGGAUGGGCCUGCGCGCCAUUAGCUAGUUGGUGAGGUAACGGCUCACCGAGGCAGAGAUGGCUAGCUGGUCUGAGAGGAUGACCAGCACACUGGGACUGAGACACGGCCCAGACUCCUACGGGAGGCAGCAGUGGGGAAUAUUGCGCAAUGGGCGAAAGCCUGACGCAGCGACGCCGCGUGGGUGAUGAAGGCCUUCGGGUCGUAAAGCCCUGUCGGGAGGGACGAAACAUCGGCGCUCUAAUACAUCGCCGACCUGACGGUACCUCCUAAGGAAGCACCGGCUAACUCCGUGCCAGCAGCCGCGGUAAUACGGAGGGUGCAAGCGUUGUUCGGAAUUACUGGGCGUAAAGCGCGUGUAGGCGGCACUCUAAGUCUGGUGUGAAAGCCCGGGGCUUACCCCCGGAAGUGCAUUGGAUACUGGAGUACUAGAGUACCGGAGAGGAGGGUGGAAUUCCUGGUGUAGCGGUGAAAUGCGUAGAUAUCAGGAAGAACACCGGUGGCGAAGGCGGCCCUCUGGACGGAUACUGACGCUGAGACGCGAAAGCGUGGGGAGCAA